CCCAGAGGUAUUGAUAGGUGAGCGCAGCCCCCGGGUUGCAUACUCGAAUUACACCAACCUGCGCAGAUGCGCAGGUUUUUUUU
This 83-nucleotide small RNA is filed under the name Kosakonia radicincitans. RNAcentral's name for it is "OmrA-B family". It matches the Rfam family "OmrA-B family". RNAcentral also lists the same sequence under 1 other name. Lineage: Bacteria; Pseudomonadati; Pseudomonadota; Gammaproteobacteria; Enterobacterales; Enterobacteriaceae. The record is from RNAcentral.